GUCAGACUCGCCCUAUUUUACACACAUGCUGGGGUGGGAGGUCUGAGCUAGAAAGACUCUGGAUUUGAGCUUAUUCCUCAAAGAGACCCGUUCCGUUGCCUCAGAAUCCAGAGAAAGAAUUACUAAGGGAAAGAGUCAAAAGGGUGGAAGGCAGAUGGAGAGCCAAGCCUGGAGCCAGAGGUCCUGGGUCUCCACCACUUCCCAGCUGGGUGUCCCACGGCAAGUCUCAGUUACUCUAGUCUCUCACUACCACUCUUUGGCCGUAGAAACAAUAGAGCGUUGUUAACUAGAAAAUAGCUAGAAUCUAGAAUAGAAAACAGAACUAGAACUACCCAGAGGUCAGAAAACCCACUCAGUAACCCGUAAAUGAGGCUUAAGCAUUUAGUCCCCACGCAGAGGGGACCCAUCAAAUCCCCUCCAAAACCACAUCCCUGGGAGAAGGCACCACACGAGCUGCUGCCUCCCCUGGGAGAAGACCCAACGCUCAGCAGCAACGCCGGAGAGACACGAGCCCUGAGAGUCAGUUUAUAUACCUUUUGGGACGCCUACAAAGACUGCCAACCACAAACAGAAACAUCAAUCUCUACACUGACAUGUGAAGGAAAGGAAGAAAUCAAAAAGGAAAACUGAUGAAUUGAAACUCCAGAGGGACUAAGAGAAACAGGACUGUUAUUUCAUAUGGGAUCCAUAUGUCACUGACUGAUUACUCAGGGCAGAGACUCUCACAAGAAUUUUAGUGAAAACCUCAGAAUUUUUCAGAAUAUAUCAAAAUGGAAAUAAAAUCCAUAUAGGAAAAAAUCA
Molecule: long non-coding RNA, 801 nt
Organism: Monodelphis domestica (gray short-tailed opossum)
Lineage: Eukaryota; Metazoa; Chordata; Mammalia; Didelphimorphia; Didelphidae
Source: RefSeq, a predicted model, not a curated record